This is a long non-coding RNA of Lolium rigidum, 1471 nucleotides long. RefSeq lists it as uncharacterized. The transcript is spliced from 6 exons. Lineage: Eukaryota; Viridiplantae; Streptophyta; Magnoliopsida; Poales; Poaceae. The record is from RefSeq and is a predicted model, not a curated record.
CCGCACCCAGCGCCCUCGCUCCGCUUUCGAUCCCUUUCCCUGUUAGCUCCCUCGCCCUCCAGGCUCCAGCCGCCCCGAUCUCCCUCUCCUCUCCUCUAGCGGUCUGGACGGUGGUUCACGGCGGCGCGGCUCAGUGGUCAGGAGGCGCAGCGGUUGCGGCCUUGGCCUUCUUGGAGCACACGAACCAGUGGCGGUACAGGCGCCAUUGCUUUAGUGAGCGCGGGCCUCGUCGCUGGGGAGCCGGCGAGGCUGCGAUCGACGAGGCAGUGUACGAGGUGGUGUUGCGGCAGAUCGAACUGAAGGAGGAUCUUCAGUGGAGGAUGUCGUGCUACUUGAGCGUUUUCCCCUCUAUUUGCAUCAGAUAAGGAGAUCUGCUAGCUGUAGAUGUGGAGAUACGAUUACUGGACCAGAAGCUCCAUUAAACCGCUGGAUUAAAGAUUAUGAAGGUCCAGAUGGAUUUUUAGCGACAUUUUGGGCAGUCUCUUCAUCCUCUAGGUGUAUCAUGAUGUUUUAGUCUCUUUUUGGGCAGUCAUGUGCUUGUAUUUGCUACUCAUUCAGGUGAUCUCAAAUUAGAUUAUGUUUCCAUUGGUAUUCAAGGUUUUUUCUUGGAGCCAGAUGCAUGUGUACUAACCCAAAAUCAUUUCUUCUCUGAAACCGGUAGGAGAUUUUAUCUGGUGCUCCUGUAUGUCAUUAGAUACUUUCCUAUGUUCAUUGGUUUACACUUAUUGUUAUUUUUGUGUGCAACGGGUCUUCUAGCUUACUCAAGCAUAUUCUUUAUGCAGACCUAGCUGUGCUCCUUGAGUUUCUGCCUUGGUGCAUUCGAGUCGUCAAUUUUGGACAACCCAACAGAUAAAUCUAUAGGCCAAUUUCAAACCUCCAACAAGGUUCCAUGGUAUGAACCCAUUUGCUUUCCCCAAUUUGGAUGUCAUGGAAUUCUUGAACAACAUGGAUUUGCAAGGAAUCGGUUUUGUACAAUUGAUGAUAAUCCACCCCCUUCGCUACUAAAUUAUGCAAUUAAAGCUUCUGUGAUCUUAUUCUGAAGCCCAUUGAAGAUGAUUUAAAGAUGUGGCCACACAGGUGGUUCCAACAGGUGAGGCGAUCUUCGUACGUGCACUUCUGAUCUUACAUAGGUACAUAGUAACCAGCCAUGCACAUGGAGGUGCUCGAGGUUCCAGCCUCAGUCAUGCUUGAGCCCAUUCUGAAGAAGCCGCACCUGCCCUUGCCAAAAAAUGUCUCGUGUGCCUGCAUCUCAGAUUGUCCAUACUACCCCCAGUUUGGCUGCACCUCCCUCUUAGUAUAUGUUCUGCUGUCAUGUAAUUGUCAUGUUGUCUGCAUAUAUCACUGUACUUCGACGUACUAAACCUCCUUGAUCCUUAUAUACCUAUUUCAAUCCGUUUUCAACCUGUAUUAAGUGCAUGUACCCCUUGUGCAAAUCAUGUGAAGUUGAAUAGACAAGGUGUUCCACUGCAUC